AAUUAAGGAAUCGCAGGCUAAAUUCGCCACGUCCUGUGGCAACGCCUGCAUGACCUUCAUCGUGAAGG
RNAcentral lists this small RNA (68 nucleotides) under Gracilibacillus orientalis. RNAcentral's name for it is "Bacillaceae-1 RNA". It matches the Rfam family "Bacillaceae-1 RNA". The record is from RNAcentral. Lineage: Bacteria; Bacillati; Bacillota; Bacilli; Caryophanales; Bacillaceae.